CCUACGGGAGGCUGCAGUGGGGAAUAUUGGACAAUGGGGGCAACCCUGAUCCAGCCAUGCCGCGUGUGUGAAGAAGGCCCUCGGGGUGUAAAGCACUUUCAGUGAGGAAGAACGCCUGGUGGUUAAUACCCAUCAGGAAAGACAUCACUCACAGAAGAAGCACCGGCUAACUCCGUGCCAGCAGCCGCGGUAAUACGGAGGGUGCGAGCGUUAAUCGGAAUUACUGGGCGUAAAGCGCGCGUAGGUGGCUUGAUAAGCCGGUUGUGAAAGCCCCGGGCUCAACCUGGGAACGGCAUCCGGAACUGUCAAGCUAGAGUGCAGGAGAGGAAGGUAGAAUUCCCAGUGUAGCGGUGAAAUGCGUAGAGAUCGGGAGGAAUACCAGUGGCGAAGGCGGCCUUCUGGACUGACACUGACACUGAGGUGCGAAAGCGUGGGUAGCAAACAGGAUUAGAUACCCGGGUAGUC
Molecule: ribosomal RNA, 465 nt
Filed under: Vreelandella stevensii
Lineage: Bacteria; Pseudomonadati; Pseudomonadota; Gammaproteobacteria; Oceanospirillales; Halomonadaceae
Description: partial 16S ribosomal RNA
Rfam family: Bacterial small subunit ribosomal RNA
Source: RNAcentral